This 518-nucleotide transfer RNA is filed under the name uncultured Alphaproteobacteria bacterium. RNAcentral's name for it is "partial 16S-23S ribosomal RNA intergenic spacer". The stretch from base 212 to 285 matches the Rfam family "tRNA". Lineage: Bacteria; Pseudomonadati; Pseudomonadota; Alphaproteobacteria. The record is from RNAcentral.
CCUCCUUUCAAGGAUGUUCCGGUCCAAAGACGAUCCUGGAUUGGAACAGACUUAAUCAAAAACCCAAGGCACCGAUGGAAUUCAAGGCCGCCGCCGGCGUAUCCCUUCAUCAAAGGACAGAAGACGGACGUCCGGAAACGGUGGUUUUCGUCCUUUUAUAUCGAGACCCGUUGCGCUUGGUCCCUCAUCUCUGGUCUAUUUCAUCUGGAGCGGGCCUGUAGCUCAGUUGGUUAGAGCGCACGCCUGAUAAGCGUGAGGUCGGUAGUUCGAGUCUACCCAGGCCCACCACUCUAUCGGGGGCGUAGCUCAGUUGGGAGAGCAUCUGCUUUGCAAGCAGAAGGUCGUCGGUUCGAUUCCGAUCGCCUCCACCAAUACCAAGGUGACAGGCGAAGGUUAAAAAGAGGGCGCCGGGUGGAUAGACCUGGGGGCGGCGAAUAGGGUUUCAUUUAUGAAUUGCGGCUAACGGUCGUUAGCUGUUGGCUUUGGUCUUGGAAUUGUGAAUAGGUUUUGGCUUCGUC